Molecule: non-coding RNA, 771 nt
Filed under: Callambulyx tatarinovii
Lineage: Eukaryota; Metazoa; Arthropoda; Insecta; Lepidoptera; Sphingidae
Source: RNAcentral
AAUUUUUUAUGGUUUUGAAAAUUUAUUUUAAAUUUAUUUUACAUAUAAAUUUUAGUGUUAGUUAUUAAUUAUUUAAAUAAUAUUUAAUUUUUUGGUAGUAAUUAAUUUUAAAUAUUUAAGAAAUUAAGAUUUAGUAAUAUAAAAAUUAAUAACUAAUUUUGUGCCAGCAGUUGCGGUUAUACAAAAGUUAAUUUAAAUUUUUUUAGUAAUUAAUAAAUAAUUAAAUUGAUAAUAAUUUAAAAUUUAAAUUAUAAAGUGAAAUUUUAAUUUAAUAAAAAAUUUUUUUAAUUAUGAUUUAAUAAAUUUUAUAAAAAACUAGGAUUAGAUACCCUAUUAUUAAAAAUUUAAAUUGAUAAUACUAAAAUAGUAAAUGAUUAUUUAUUGAAACUUAAAUAAUUUGGCGGCAUUUUAGUUCAUUUAGAGGAAUCUGUUUAAUAAUUGAUAGUCCACGAAUAAAUUUACUUAAUUUAUUAUUUUGUAUAUCGUUGUUAUAAAAAUAUUUUUUAAUAAAAAUAAUAUUUAAAAAUUAAUAUUUAAAAUUAAAUCAGAUCAAGAUGCAGGUUAUAAUUAAGAAUAUAAUGGAUUACAAUAAAUUUAUUUAAUUGAAUUUUAAUAUGAAAUUAUUAAUUGAAAUUGGAUUUAAAUGUAAUUUUUUUUAAAUUAAAAAAAUGAUUUUAUAUUAAAAUGUGUACAUAUUGCCCGUCGCUUUCAUUUAUAAAUUGAAAUAAGUCGUAACAAAGUAGAAGUACUGGAAAGUGUUUCUAGAAAGAU